ACGCUCGACACCUACGGGAGCAGCAGUUAGGAAUAUUGGGCAAUGGAGGGAACUCUGACCCAGCAACGCCGCGUGAAGGAAGAAGGUUUUCGGACUGUAAACUUCUGAUCUAAGGGAAAAAGAAAGUGAUGGUACCUUAGGAGAAAGCCACGGCUAACUACGUGCCUGCAGCCGCGGUAAUCUGAGGCGGGCUGGCAAGGC
This 201-nucleotide ribosomal RNA is filed under the name uncultured bacterium. RNAcentral's name for it is "partial 16S ribosomal RNA". It matches the Rfam family "Bacterial small subunit ribosomal RNA", at positions 328 to 539 of the family's 1533-position model. The record is from RNAcentral.